This is a long non-coding RNA of Gavialis gangeticus (Gharial), 1103 nucleotides long. RefSeq lists it as uncharacterized. The transcript is spliced from 4 exons. Lineage: Eukaryota; Metazoa; Chordata; Crocodylia; Gavialidae. The record is from RefSeq and is a predicted model, not a curated record.
AGUGGCUGGUGGCAUUUUGGGAUGGUGGAGCUGCUUAGAAUGAAAGCUGUAUCACACCAUAAUUAAUUGAUUCUAGAUUACUCCUGUUGCAUAAUCAUGUUCAGCCUGGGCUUGUCAAUGCUGUGCGCUCUCUUAUCAGUUAUUAUCAAGCAACAGGGAGUCCAGGUGCACAUGUAAACCGACUGGAGUGGGAAAUGCUAACUCCUUCCCUAUCUCUGCUAUUGCCUAAAACAAGACGUUGUUAUUACAGUGGCAUCUGCAGAUCCCUGCUGAGACUGAAUGCAUACCGACAGACAGUCCUCGCCCCAGAGUGCUCACAGCCCUAAUAACUGUUUGGUUCCAGCAGUGUAAUAGGAAAUAAUUCUCAUUUCCUGCAUUUUAAGGAGCGUGGCAGGCUUUGCUUUCCAACUUACCAGCAGCUCUGCAACUUCCACUUGCGGUGGUCCAAAGUACCAGACCGGAGUGGGCCAGAGGUGUUGCCUACAUGAAGAGGGAGGCUUGGCAUGGCAGGGAUGUGCUUCAUUGUGUUACAAGAAACCUUUAAUGAAAUGAGGCCUGGGGCAGUUGGAGUCACCUAUAAGGGAACCAGGCAAGAAAAAGCAAGUGGUCCAUGAAGUGGCCCCAACGAGGCUCUGUGUAUUCAAAUGCUGCCACGCUCAGCUCAUCGCUGCUUGGCUGUGCAUGCCUCAAAAGCAUUCCUUAUGGAUUACCUCCUGCAUGGUCAGCAUUCAUUAUCAGAUGUCACCCCAGGGAAAUACGCUUCUGUGCUUAGGGGCAAGGAAGAAAACAACCCCCAACUCUUAAUAUCUGCACCUCCAGGGCCACUCAUCAAUUCCCCCGGCAUCCUGACAUCCAAGGGAAGGCCAGUGGAAACAUUUUGUGAUCAGGCAAAAUGGGGAAAAACACAGCAUACAGAGAAUGCUGUUCAUGCCUGUGGGGAGGAGGAAGCGCUAUCUCGUUUUCCAUGGUGACUAAAUCAUGUGGGCUGGAUUUUCAAAGUUUAUCGUAUUCUAAGCGCCCUCGAGAUGCACCUGACGCAGUGUUAUUUCCAGGUACGCAGCUCGCCAGGGCAGUGUGGCAUCAUGUACGCGCAGCUCUGCAAC